Molecule: ribosomal RNA, 482 nt
Filed under: uncultured bacterium
Lineage: Bacteria
Description: bacterial SSU rRNA
Rfam family: Bacterial small subunit ribosomal RNA
Source: RNAcentral
UCGAGAAUCUUCUGCAAUGGGCGCAAGCCUGACAGAGCGACGCCGCGUGGAGGACGAAGGCCCUCGGGUUGUAAACUCCUGUUACACGUUAUGAAAUGUACGGGUCCACCCGUGCACUGACAAAGGCGUGGGAGAAAGUCACGGCUAACUUCGUGCCAGCAGCCGCGGUAAGACGAAGGUGGCUAGCGUUAUUCGGAUUCACUGGGCAUAAAGCGCGCGUAGGCGGCUCUUCAAGUCGGGGGUGAAAGCCCGCAGCUCAACUGCGGAACUGCCUUCGAUACUGUCGAGCUUGAGUGCAGGAGGGGUGAUCGGAACUCCAGGUGUAGCGGUGAAAUGCGUAGAUAUCUGGAGGAACACCGGAGGCGAAGGCGGAUCACUGGACUGCCACUGACGCUGAGGCGCGAAAGCUAGGGGAGCAAACAGGAUUAGAUACCCUGGUAGUCCUAGCUGUAAACGAUGGGUACUAGGCAGCGGGGGCCCGA